Molecule: long non-coding RNA, 773 nt
Organism: Fundulus heteroclitus (mummichog)
Lineage: Eukaryota; Metazoa; Chordata; Actinopteri; Cyprinodontiformes; Fundulidae
Exons: 4
Source: RefSeq, a predicted model, not a curated record
AGUGGCAACUGAGGAGAUGCACAACUGCAUAUGAAAAUUCCGAUUGGAUGGAAUGUUGAUUGACAUUGGCUUUGCCCAGUCAAAAUCCAGCCCAGCCCAGCCCAGGUGGAUAACUUCCCUUAAUGAAAAUGAACGUAGCCUAGCGAACGGGUGACGUUGUAGGCCUAUCGUUCAGUAAAUUUGAAAGCAAUUAAGUAACUAAGCUGAAGGAAAAUGAAGAGGAGCUAUCCAUCUGGUAGCGAGAAGAAGAAGAAAAAAGAAGAAGAAGCAAAAAGAAAGAAAGACAGUGGAUCAUUGCUUAAAUUUCUAACAAAACAGACGGAUAAAGUGCCCCUACCAAAUGCUGAUGAAAACCUUCCAGCAACAUCCACAUCCAGUGGGAUAGUGGCCACUCAACCUGUUGGUUGUCAUGAAGAGCAGGAAGAGACACCAGAAGCACAUCGAGCACCCAUUCCAAGUUAUGAUACUGAUGACUUUCCAGCAACAUCCACCUACAGUGGGAUAGUGGCCACUCACCCUGUUGGUUGUCAUGAUGAGCAGGAAGAGACACCAGAGGCAUAUCGAGCACCCAUUCCAUGUUAUGACACUGAUAACUGUGAGUUUAAUAAUUCAAUACAUUUUACUUUAAUUGAUAACAUAUAGCAUGCCCUGUAAAUUCUUUAUCACAAAGUAUACCCUGUUUUUGUUUUUGUUAUCAGUUCCGGCAACGUCCACCACCAACAGGACAGGAAUUACUGUUUUUUUUAUUUUAUUAUACAUUCAUUUUAAUGUAU